CGGUGAGGCAGUUGGGGAAGGAGCGCCUUUCUUCUCCUGCGCGCCGACUGUUGGUCCGUCGCGACAGCAGACAAAACUGAAGACAGAAAAAACCCCACAAACAAGCAGAAACUAAAGGUGGCUGCAGUAAAAGCCUGUCAAAGUAUGUCAUGGGAGGAAACUUAGCAUUUGGUGAUGUCCAUGGGUUCCAGAUUUCAGGCAGACAUUGACCACAAAGGAUAUGCAUAUUAUGUGGCCCGUCCACGAUUGUCACAGAUUUCCCCUCGCACUGACUGCUGGAGCAUUCAGCACACAAGAACUGACUUUGUUUACUUUUUGACACACGUGUUGUGUUAUGUAUUAUGUCAUGUCUCCUCCCCACCUGCAUUGUUAUUGAUUGUCUCCCUCACGUGUCAUCAUUAUUCACAGCUGUUUAUGUUAUACCUUUAAUUUCGUUGUAUAUUUAAA
This is a long non-coding RNA of Ictalurus punctatus (channel catfish), 447 nucleotides long. Lineage: Eukaryota; Metazoa; Chordata; Actinopteri; Siluriformes; Ictaluridae. The record is from Ensembl.